This 905-nucleotide long non-coding RNA is filed under the name Homo sapiens (human). RNAcentral describes it as "SOX2 overlapping transcript". The stretch from base 10 to 285 matches the Rfam family "SOX2 overlapping transcript exon 3". Lineage: Eukaryota; Metazoa; Chordata; Mammalia; Primates; Hominidae. The record is from RNAcentral.
GGAUUGCAGUGGCAAAGCUAGGCUAGGUCUUGGAGGCUGGUGUAAGGCGAUGUGGGUGAAGGCAGGAGGCUGAUGGAAAGACUGGGGGGAAGAAAAGCCGAAAUGGAUUCACGGUGCCUUGGAUGAAGGACGAGAGGGGAACUGCAAGCUCCUUCAACUGGUUCUGUCCGGUGAGAAGUGAUCAAGCUUGGGCUGACAAGAGGCUCAGGGAGCCCUCACGUUCUUUCGCUUUUUUACCUGCCAAUCAAACUGCUACAAGACAACACCCUGAUCUGGCAUGGACAUUCAUUGCAGUCACCUGGAGUCACGGAAAUGACCAUGAUUGCCUGAACUUUCAUGACUUCUGUGGAUAACUGUGGUUGCAGAAAAGAGAAAACCUGGACCGUGAGGGACAUUUCACUCCCUGGGCUUUGGUUGGAGUGCAGUGGCGCGAUCUUGGCUCACUGCAACCGCCACUUCCCAGGUUCAAGUGGUUCUCCUGCCUCAGCCUCCUGAGUACCUGAAAUUACAGGCGCCCGCCACCACGCCAGUCUCAAUACCUUCACAGAGGUGAAGAAGCAGCAACCAAAUGAAUUAGACAGCAACAUGAUUCCUAGAGAAUGGCAAGACCAAUUCUUCAACUACUUCUUCAGCAUUUCUGAAACAUAUGGAAGAUGGCCCAUUGUGCUCUCUUAAUUCUUUGAUAAUCUGGACAUUGACUUUUCCAUUAUAUGACCUGGGCUUGUGGGCAUCAUGUCAUAAUGCACCUGUUCAGACAUCUCCCUGUACCAAUAUGGAUCACUUGAAGAGACUCCUUUGCCCCCAUCAAAAAGGAUACAGUUGUGUAUCUCUUCCAUUUUUGUUUACAGUGCCUAAAAUUAUUUGAGCAGUUUUUCACCUCUUCUCUGAUAAACACCUUAUUAGUC